Molecule: non-coding RNA, 703 nt
Organism: Myodes glareolus (Bank vole)
Lineage: Eukaryota; Metazoa; Chordata; Mammalia; Rodentia; Cricetidae
Source: RefSeq, a predicted model, not a curated record
GACCACCGAAGAGACAGCAUGUAACCUGCCCAGCUGAAAAAGAGCCAGAUAAGGACAUACUGAUGACCAUGCCUCAAGGAAACAGGCUCUGACCUGAGAGCUGGAGCUAGGCUGGAAUGAACCAGAAGAAGAAAUGCAGACAAUCCCAUUGAUCUUUUAAACAUUCUAUGUGUGUGUGUACACUUACAGCUAUCAACGGACAACUUUCAGAAAGUUCCAGACAAGCCCAGGCAUCUCAGCGAAAGCACGUCUCCAAAGGGAAAGGGAAAAGAAAUGGAGCUGGGUGGUGGAUCACUGGACCUCUGCUCAACCCCUCCCACUCCUGCGCCUCAGGAACAACAGGUUCCAAUUGGAAGUCCUCAAACAUCUGACCAGCAGGUGGCGCUAAACACCCGCGCCUCCUCUUAGGCCUGCCGGGGUCUACUUACAAAUUCUGUCUGUAUCCUUGCACAGCGACCUGCCCUUGACGGGGUCUGGAUGUAGCCCUUAGGAUAACGAGAUGGCAACCCAAAUGUUCACUUCAGCCUGGUAAGCGUAGGGCGGUGGAGCAGGCACCUAGUGUGAGCUGAACUCAAUAAAGAGUCAGGAAAAGGGUGGAGAGGCCAAUGCCUUACAUAAAACAAAGAAACCCAGCCAACAAACCACAAUCCCAGAGAACUUAGACCACCAUGAGGACACUAAGAGAGACUUACAUAGGUCUAAU